AGCAGCCGCGGUAAUUCCAGCUCCAAUAGCGUAUAUUAAAGUUGUUGCAGUUAAAAAGCUCGUAGUUGAAUUUCGGGAUCAAUACGUCUGUCGUGCCUUUGGUACGUACGGGUGUAAUUGGUUUCUACCUUCUGAGGAUCCUUGAUGUCAUUAAUUUGGUGUCUUGGGGAAUCAGGACUGUUACCUUGAAAAAAAUUAGAGUGUUUAAAGCAGGCAUGCGCUUGAAUACAUUAGCAUGGAAUAAUGAAAUAGGACGUUCGAUUCUAUUUUGUUGGUUUCUAGGAUCGACGUAAUGAUUAAUAGGGAUAGUUGGGGGCAUUAGUAUUCAAUUGUCAGAGGUGAAAUUCUUGGAUUUAUUGAAGACUAACUACUGCGAAAGCAUUUGCCAAGGAUGUCUUCAUUAAUCAAGAACGAAAGUUAGGGGAUCGAAGACGAUCAGAUACCGUCGUAGUCUUAACCAUAAACUAUGCCGACUAGGGAUCGGAUGAUGUAAUUUUUAAUGA
Molecule: ribosomal RNA, 503 nt
Filed under: uncultured Glomus
Lineage: Eukaryota; Fungi; Glomeromycota; Glomeromycetes; Glomerales; Glomeraceae
Description: SSU rRNA
Rfam family: Eukaryotic small subunit ribosomal RNA
Source: RNAcentral